This 19403-nucleotide long non-coding RNA is filed under the name Populus tremula. RNAcentral describes it as "long non-coding RNA (PTRE_LNC000926)". The record is from RNAcentral. Lineage: Eukaryota; Viridiplantae; Streptophyta; Magnoliopsida; Malpighiales; Salicaceae.
GUCCAUGCUUCUAAGCUUAACUAGUUGUGCAGGACCUGUUUAUGAAAUCAACCCUAGAUUCGAUAUUCAAAGUUGCAUUCGGGGUUGAGCUAGACAGCAUGUGUGGAUCAAAUGAAGAAGGUGUCAAAUUUACCAGUGCUUUUGAUGAUGCAAGUGCAUUGACCCUUUGGCGAUAUGUUGACGUGUUCUGGAAAAUCAAGAGGUUUUUGAAUAUUGGAUCGGAAGCUGCAUUGAAGAAAAACGUCAAAGUGGUUAAUGAUUUUGUGUAUAAACUAAUCAAUAAAAAAAUUGAGCUAAUGCGUAACUCAGAAGAAGUUUCUUCUGUGAGUAUCUCUCCUUGAAACUAUUAUUUCUGAUAGAUUGCAGAGGCAUGAAUUUUAGCUGAUCUUACAUGGAAAAUGCAGUUAAAGAAAGAUGACAUUUUAUCAAGGUUCCUGCAAGUGACGGAGAAUGAUCCAACAUACUUACGGGACAUAAUUCUCAAUUUUGUGAUUGCUGGAAAAGACACAACAGCAGCUGCUCUAUCAUGGUUCAUCUACAUGUUGUGCAAGCAUCCAGCUGUGCAGACAAAGGUUGCACAAGAAGUAAGAGAAGCAACUAAAGUGAAAGAGAUCACAAAUUUUGCAGAAUUUGCAGCCAGUAUUAAUGAAGAAGCUCUAGAAAAGAUGAACUAUCUCCAUGCAGCAAUUACUGAAACUCUUAGACUGUAUCCAUCUGUGCCUGUGGUAAGAAGAAAUUAUGUGCACUUGCAAUUCCUGGCUGCAAGAAACAACACAAAUAAAUUUGUGAUUAUUUACUAAUUCUUCAAGACUGAAACUACGAUUCUUGAGCAAUAAAUGCCUUUAAUUCUCUCAGUAUACUUGAUGUUUCAACAUGCUUGUAUAGAGUUAAUAAUGCUUCCUAAAUAAUUGUAUAAUUUUUUUGUUUCUGUAUCUCAAAAUUCUUUGCUUUGCAGGAUGCGAAGGUUUGCUUUUCUGAUGACACUCUACCAGAUGGCUUUAAUGUGAGAAAGGGAGAUAUGGUGGCUUACCAACCCUAUGCAAUGGGGAGGAUGAAGUUCAUAUGGGGCGAUGAUGCUGAGGAAUACAAACCUGAAAGAUGGCUCAAUGAGGAUGGCGUGUUUCAGCAAGAAAGCCCUUUCAAGUUUACAGCUUUCCAGGUUAGUGGAAAUAAAGAUCUGUCUAAUUCACUUGAUUAACAUUCAAAUAAAUUUUCUGCUGCCUUUGCUGUGCAAAUCAUUAAGAUCUAUUUUCAGUGCUUGCUCAGUUUAACUUUAUGGACUCCCAAUCUCGUUGACCAAAUGACUAAAAUCAGACUUUCUGCUGGUUAACAGGCAGGGCCACGGAUAUGUCUUGGGAAGGAAUUUGCUUAUAGGCAGAUGAAGAUCUUCGCGGCUGUCUUAUUGGGCAGUUUCAUUUUUAAACUCGCUGAUGAAAUGAAACCUGUCAACUACAGGACAAUGAUUAAUCUUCAUGUUGAUGGAGGCCUCCAUGUUUGUGCCCUCCACAGAGGCAGUGCUUAGCUCAGUAUAUCUGUAAUGGUAUUACAUCAAUAAACAUGGGCGUAAAACCCAGCCCAAACCAUCCAAGGUAAACGAGGUUAAACAAUGUUUUCCUGGUAAGACGACAAGACGGAUCAUGCACCUUCUUAAGCAACUGCAGAGAUCUCUGAACUUGUUUAAACAACAGAAUAUCCAUCAAUUCAUAUAUAAAUAUGAAGAAACAAUGAAGCUAUACCUUAGAAGGGGGGCUGUAAGCAAGAGUCCAAGUAUGGAACGAACUCCAGCCUAUCAGCUCCUGAAGAAUAGGAUUUUAAACUAGUGAUAAGCUUUGUAUAGAAUGGAACUCUAAUUAUUGUGUUUGAUUAGAACUCUGCAACGUUAUCUCUACUGUAUAUAUAUACCUCUGUUUUCAAUGAAUAAACAUAAGAGUUUCCUACGUUCCAUAUAUAUUCAGCUGUCUUCUCUACUGGUAUCAGAGCUGUUGCACUAAAUUGCACAGUUUUUUUUUCUCUUGUCUUCGUCUCUUCACUCUCUUCUUCCCAUCUUCUAUUUAAAUCCUAAAUCACCAUGAGUGAUUUCCCAAACACAACUCUUGUUACCAUUAAUGUUACAGCUCAAGCUCCAGUGAAACUCAACAGCACCAACUAUUUGUCAUGGCGACUUCAGUUUCAGACGCUCUUCAUUGGUUAUGAUCUGCAAGGAUACAUAGAUGGCACAAAGCCAUGCCCCUCCCGAUAUCAUACCACCAGCACAGACAACCCCAACACUCAAGCCUUAAAUCCAGAAUAUCAUACCUGGAUACGUCAAGAUCAACUGAUUUUGAAUGCCAUCAUAGGAUCCAUUACACCAACCAUUAUUCCUUUUAUUGCUCGCGCCACAACAGCUCGCGAAGCUUGGAAUAUCCUUGCAGCCACAUAUGCCACUCCAUCUCGGGGUCGCAUCAAACAGGUGAAAGCUAAUCUCAAAUCGUUAACUAAAGGCACUCUUAGCAUCACAGAUUUCCUGCAAUAAGUAAAGGCUAGAGCUGAUGAACUUGCAGUCCUAGGGGCACCUGUAGACAAUGAAGACCUGACGGACAAAAUCCUAGAAGAACUAGGUGAUGACUAUAAAGAAUUGGUGAGAGCAGUGCAAGCCAGAGACAAUGCCAUAAGCUUUGAUGAACUCCAUGAAAAAUUAUUAAUGUUUGAAGCCUCACUCCAAGCAGCCCAUAAAGGUAUUAAUUUCUCCCCUACAGCACAUCUCUCCAGUAGAACUCAAAGCAGGUAUCCUUUCAACAUUGUUGGCCGAUCAACGUCCAACAACUCAGGUGGACACUGGCGCCCCUCAACCUACUCACAUCAUCGCUACAUAGGACAAGGUUCAAACACUAAUGGCACCACUAACAACAGCCGCUCUCAGCCAUGACCAUAUCUGGGGUAUUGCCAAAUUUGUAGCAUUCAAGGACAUACAGCAAAAAAAUGUCACUCCUUUCGUCUUGUUCCACUCCACAGCCACCCAAAUUCCAGUCCUCCUCCAUGGCAACCACAAGCCAACCUUGUUGAAACUAAUUCCCAGACUAGCUCUCCAUGGCUUUUGGAUAGUGGGGCAUCCCACCACAUCACAACAGAUCUUUAAAAUUUGGCUCACCACUUGCCCUACACCGGCACUGAUGAUGUUAUGAUAGGGGAUGGUAAAAGUCUGCGAAUUACACACUUGGGUUCCUCUACUCUUCAUUCAUCCGCUCACUCCUUUAAGCUUAAAAAUAUAUUAUGUGUGCCUGAUAUUAAACGCAAUUUACUAUCUAUAUAUCAAUUUUGCGUUGAUAAUAAUGUAUCUGUUGAGUUCUUACCCUGAUGUUUUUUUGUGAAGGACUUAUUGAUGGGGGAAAUUCGCGCAAAGGAUAAAACCAAAGAAGGUGUGUACGAAUGGUCGUGCGUUGUCACCUCUCAUGCCUUUUCCAGUCUCAAAAUACCUUCCAUAAAUUGGCAUUUUUGAUUAGGUCAUCCAGCUGUUUCUGUUUUAAAAACAAUUUUAACUAAGGAUAAUUUGAAUUCGUCUUCAGUUUCAAAAGACUUUGUCUGUAAUGCAUGUCACUGUAAUAAAAGUCACAAACUACCUUUUUCUGUCUCCACCUUGGUUUCUCGUAAACCACUUGAAAUAAUAUUUUCUGAUGUAUGGACGUCCCCUAUUUUGUCUAUUGAUAAUUUUAAGUACUAUGUUAUUUUUGUGGAUCACUUCACUAAAUACAUAUGGUUUUAUCCGUUAAAAAAUAAAUCUGAUGUCAAAACCAUCUUCAUACGCUUUAAAGCAGUAGUAGAAAAUUAUUUCAAGACCAAAAUUGUGACUUUGUAUUCUGACAAUGGAGGUGAAUAUAUUGCGCUAAAGGAAUUCCUUGUUAUGCAUGGAAUAUCUCAUCUGACAUCACCCCCUCACACCCCUGAACACAAUGGCUUUGCUGAACGCCGUCAUCGGCAUAUUGUAGAAACAUGUCUCUCCCUUUUAACUCAUGCAUCUUUACCCCGUAUUUUUUGGUCAUAUGCUUUUUCUACCGCGGUCUAUCUUAUAAAUCGCAUGCCAACAACUAAGUUACAAAAUCUUUCACCUUAUGCAGUUAUUUUUCAACAUUCCCCGAAUUAUGAAAAGCUUCGUAGUUUUGGAUGUUUAUGCUAUCCUUGGCUACGACCAUACACUGCUCAUAAACUAGAUCCUCGUUCCAAACCAUGCAUUUUUCUGGGAUAUUCUCUUUCACAAAGUGCUUAUUUAUGCUUAGAGCCCGAGUCCUCAAAAAUUAUUGUGUCUAGGCAUGUGUCCUUCAUUGAGCAUAUUUUUCCAUACCAUGAUUUACACAAACCGGAGCCUCCAUGCAUAUCCAAUUCAAUUGACAUAUGGAUUCCACCUGUCAUCACCAUUCCCUCGUCAUCUUCUACACACUCUUCUACGGCAACACUUGAAGCAAGAAAUUCCCCGCUAGUGAUCCUUCAUCCCUCAUCAGGAACCACCACCCAACCAUCUACCACCAUUCCUAUAUCUGCCCCAGAUGUCCUUAACCCCACAACAACCAUACCCCCACCACCACCAAAUCUUCCUACUCAUCCUAUGACAACCCGGUCCAAAAACAAUAUUCACAAACCCAUACAAAAACUCACAUAUACUACCACUCUUACCCCUCAGCCUUAAGAACCCACCACAUUUGCUCAGGCCACAAAAGACCCACACUGGCAGUCUGCCAUGAAUGAAGAGUAUAGUGCUCUGUUGCGUAAUGGCACUUGGACUCUAGUCCCCCCUGUUUGUGCUUCUAACUUGGUUGGUUGUAAGUGGAUUUUCAGGAUAAAACGAAAUGCAGAUGGAACAGUGGCUCGUUACAAAGCCAGACUUGUAGCCAAAGGUUUUCAACAGCUUCCGGGACUGGACUACCAUGACACAUUCAGUCCAGUUGUGAAACCUACAACAAUCCGUCUGGUUCUCAGCAUUGCUGUCAGUAAUGGAUGGCCACUUCGGCAACUUGACAUUAACAAUGCAUUCCUGCAAGGCACCCUUGCUAAGGAUGUAUACAUGGCACAACCUCCGGGCUUCCAUGAUCUAGACAAACCUGAGUUUGUCUGUAAACUCAGAAAAGCAAUUUAUGGCUUGAAGUAGGCACCCCGUGCGUGGUAUCAUGAACUACGCAAUUUUCUACAUGCAUCAGGAUUCUCUAACUCCUUGGCUGAUACAUCACUUUUUGUCUUCCAUCAGCAAUCUCAUCUCAUUUAUCUCCUGGUCUAUGUUGACGAUAUUAUUGUUACAGGGGAUAAUGAACAGGCAGUCAAUCAAUUCAUUCGGUGUUUAGCAGAUCGGUUCUCAUUAAAAGAUUUGGGCUCUCUACAGUAUUUUCUGGGCGUUGAAAUUCGAUCUCAUCCCACUAGUGGCAAGCUCCUCUCACAGCACAGGUAUAUUAUGGAUCUACUGCAUCGCACCAACAUGGCUCAUGCAAAACCCACGUCAACUCCCCUGCCUCCAGGUUGUAAACUAAGCUUAAACAUGGGUGCACCUAUGGCUGACCCUUCACACUAUCGUGCUACAAUAGGAAGCCUUCAGUAUCUAUCUCUAACUCGGCCUGAUAUUUCUUUCGCUGUAAACAAGCUCUCCCCAAUUUAUGCACAAGCCCUCAGAUGUACACUGGAAACUGGUGAAACAUCUCCUUCGAUAUUUACUUGGCACUGUCGACCACUGUCUGCUACUUCAUCGUCAUUCACCAUUUUCGGUUCAUGCUUUUUCUGAUGCAGACUGGGGGGGGGGGACAUGGUAGAUUUAUCCUCCACCAGCGCCUAUGUCAUCUACCUUGGCCGGAGCCCCAUCUCCUGGUCUUCCAAAAAGCAACACACCACGGCACGUUCAUCCACUGAAGCCGAAUAUAGAGCAGUUGCAGACACAGCAGCUGAAAUCAGUUGGGUGUGCUCUUUAUUAUCUGAACUACAUUUUCCAGUGAGUCACACUCCAGUCAUCUACUGUGACAACAUUGGUGCCACCCAGCUAAGCUCUAAUCCUGUGUUUCACUCAAGAAUGAAACAUGUUGCUAUUGAUUUCCAUUUCAUUCGACAAAGGGUUCAAUCAGGUGCUCUACGAGUGUCUCAUGUAUCUUCAAAUGAUCAGUUAGCCGAUGCAUUAACAAAAUCACUACCCCGCUCGCAGUUCUGGCUUCUUAAAGACAAGAUUGGACUCAUUGACCCCGUCCAUCUUGAGGGGGCAUGUAAGCAAGAGUCCAAGUAUGGAACGAACUCCAGCCUAUCAGCUCCUGAAGAAUAGGAUUUUAAACUAGUGAUAAGCUUUGUAUAGAAUGGAACUCUAAUUAUUGUGUUUGAUUAGAACUCUACAACGUUAUCUCUACUGUAUAUAUAUACCUCUGUUUUCAAUGAAUAAACAUAAGAGUUUCCUACGUUCCAUAUAUAUUCAGCUGUCUUCUCUACAGGGGCUUGGACCGCAUCUCCAAACUGUAUCUGCUCACGUCCAGGAAAGUCCCGCUCUCCUCGGAUUUCUUUGUUUUUCUUCCACAUAUUAAAAAGUGAUCAUGUAGAUGUUCAACAACCAUAUGCUUGAACAAGCCUGUGAAUGGGGUUUAGAUACUAAAAUUUGAAUUCACAUGCAGCCAAAUUAGAAAUGAAAUUGAACAGAAUUUCAAGUACACCAAGUCGUCCACUACAUGAAUCCUUGUAGCAUCCUCUUCAAACUAGAGAAAAAAACCUACAGGGGCCGUAAUAGAGUGAUAUCCUCCACUAAAAUCCUUGGCAAGUUUAAUGCAUUAACCCGUAGCCUUAUCGUUCUGCCCACGGCAAUUAUAAGUACAUGCCCCCUAACAAAAAUCCUACGGAUGAUCCAAAAUUCUUGGAAACUCUGUGUCGACCACCUGACCACAAACACAUCAGGUCCGAGUAUUGCACUCGAACAAAUAGUUAACAUUUCUAAAAAUAAAAUGCUGACAUAAAUAGCUGUCAUUGCAAAAAUUAGGUUAGUCAAAGGCACUACCAUUACAAAAAUCACAGUAGCUUCCUGAGCAAAAGGUUUUCCCUGUAAAAAUGAGAUAACAAGAUGAGACCCAUGGCACGUACUUGCUCAUACUUAAUACAUCCCAGAGAGAGUCUGAGGGCCACACAUCGCGAGUUAGAUGCAGAACUAGCAAACCCCGUAUCUAGCUCCUUCCUCGUGAGUGAAUCAGUGAAAGCACUCUACUCAGCAAAGCCUUAUUCCCAAACACAGUUGUGAUCAGUUACAUGGAUGAUUUCCCUCUACUCUAUUCUGUUUUAGCCAACUUUAUACAUGUUUCAUGGUGGUAUAAGUACCCAAUUCUAAAGCAAUUUUAGCAAUGUAAAACAGUCAUAAUGACAAAAACUUCAAGAAGUCAAGUUUCAAGUGAGCAUGAACUUUCACCACGAGUUCUCCGCGAACAAUUUUCGACCAAUCUAAUUCAAUGCUAAACUUUACGUAGCUAAUAACACAGACAUGCAUGUUGAAAGAAAUCAAGCAUUACCCCCAAGUUGUCAAGAAUUCACAAGAAUGGGAGGUGUGCAGAGGUGGAUGACAUUUUCCUGAUGGCUUUAGAAUGAAAAAGGUUGACGGACAUGGCAUAUGCCAUGGGUAGGAUGCCUUACAUUUGGGGAGACGAUGCAGAGGAUUUGCGGCCAGAAAGAUGGCUCAACAAUGGGAUUUUCCAACCUGAAUCACCAUUCAAGUUCAUAGCAUUUCAUGUUAGUAUCUUCUCUUCGUUUCUUGCAGACAUAACGUGUGAAACAGUUUCCAAAGUUGUUGGCUGUCCCCUUGCAGGCAGGUCCUCGGAUAUGUCUGGGCAAAGACUUCGCGUACCGGCAGAUGAAGAUACUAUCCAUAGCCCUUCUUCGGUUCUUUCGCUUCAAAUUAGCUGAUGACAAGAAAAAUAACUUACAGGACAAUGCUCACACUUCACAUUGAAGGAAGUCUGCAUCUUCGUGCAAUUGGAAGGACCAAGUCAUGAAGAUAAAAUAAGUCAAGCAAAUAAUUAUGGCCUGGUGAAUCUUGUUUGUACUGUAUACAUUGAUACACAUAUCAAUUACAAACAACUGUGAUUUCUACCGGUAUGUUAGCUGCAGCUGUCGCACGACUGUGUCACCUUGGAGAUAAAAUUUGCAAGGAAAAUUUUCAUUUGUCCUAUUUUUCCUUUUCUAAACUAUGUGCCACCAGCAACAAGCAGCUUGAAUUUAUCUAAUCAUCGUUAUCAAGCUUUAAUUUAGCAUUAGUGGGUUUAAUUUGAAUCAUCACUGUCCAGAUAUUACUUGUGCAAAAGAUAAGGAGUGCUCCGUUCUGUUUCGUUCAUGUCAUUUUCCUUGCUUCCACAUCCAAAAGUUACAGCGCAUGGGAUGUUUCCAGGCUAAGCUUUAAAGCUAUUCUCCUACACAUAUUUGCCUUAUCUCAACAAUCAUUCAUUCCAAGAAAUGGUCAUUCUCUGUCAUCUUCACCUUCACAGAAACAGCACUUCUCUUUAUCCCCUCAACCUUGUUGUUUUUAGCACUCAAAAUUUUUGCUGGCAAAUCAAUCAACAAUCCCAACUAUCCACCAGUUAAAGGCACAAGCUUUAACCAGCUCCUCUACUUCGACAGGCUCUAUGACUACCAAACUAAAUGGCCAAGAAACAGAAAACUGACCGCUUCCAACUCCGGAGCAAAGUGAGGUGUACACGCAUACAAGAAACACAGAGCAUGUGCUAAAAGCAAACUUUGAGAAGUAUAAUAAAGGAAAGCACAAUCAAGAUAUUUUUACUGAUUUUUUUUGUGAAUUGAAAUUGUUAUGAUAUCCCAUGUAAUCACCAUUGGAAUUCUGGUGCACACAUGCAUUGUAAUUAUACGUAAGUUAUGGUUUAACUAUUCAAGCAAAGCUCUACAUAUUUCAAUCUAUAUUCGGUGGCCAACCAAUCAUAGACUUCAAAAUAACAACAUAAAAGAUGGGCAUAUUAAUAUAACGAAUUGGACGUUACCCAGCUUUAAUGUCCUCAAAGUAACAUCAACUUUAGUUUUAUUAUAAUUUCACUCAAUGCCUCCAUAUAUGAGUUCAUCUAGUGAAAUAUAUAAUAUAUAUAGCACUAAAAAAAAUAUUAGUUCCUCAAAUAUAAGUGAUAGUAUUGUUGUUAGUAUCACUAUCCUCAAAUAUAGCACUAAAAAUACAUAAUCACUAAAUACCUAAUUCAUUAAAUUUAUACGUAUCUGGUGCAUGUAAUUUAUAAAUUCAAUUGGUAUAAUAAUAUCUAAUUAAUAUAAUUUAUACCCAAUUUACUGCAUUCAGGUAAAAUAUAAUGCAUCACAAAGUAAACCCUAACAUAAGGAUAAACUUGUUAGAGUUACUUAAUAAACCCUGUCCCUUUCCUUCCAACCUCCACACAGCGUUGUCUAUGUGAUUAUACUACUUCUACUGGGCCGAAUCCAUUAAAAUACCAACAUCCAUCUUCCUUGUUUCACGUACUGCUCAACUCCAACAUGGCCUCCGUUGAUUUUCUCUCUGAUCCAUUCAAAUUCUCAGCUUUAGUUCCAAUCCUAUAUGUACUCAUAGCCCAACUACUCACUAGAAAAUUGAACAAAAAGCAGAAAAAUACCAGUACCAUCCAGUUGGUGGCACGGUGUUCAACCACCUUCUCAACUUCAACGGGUUGCAUCAUUACAUGACUGAUCUUGCUGGGAAAUACAAGACUCACAGGCUGCUAACCCCUUUCAGAAGUGAGUUUUACACUGCUGACCAUGUAAAUUAAUGUUGAGUACAAACUCAAAUCCAAUUUUCUUUUGUCCUAUUUUCCUUUCCUAGAGUGUGUUCUACCUGUAUCAAGCAGUUUAAAUUUACCCGAUUAUUGCUAUCAAGCUUUAAAUUAGCACUAGUGAUUUAGGACCAAUGAACUUUAAUCUGAAUCACCAAUAUUCAGAUAUUUCUCAUGCAAAGACAAGGAGUGAUUCUCUCUGUUUGGCUCACGUCACUUUCCUCGCUUUCUCGCACAGAAGUUACAGCGCAAUAAUGUUUCUAGACUAAGCUUUAUAGCUAUUCUCGACAACCACUCAUUCCAAGAAAUGGACAAGCACCCCGCUAUCCUCACCUUCACAGCAACCACAACUCUUUUUAUGUCCUCUACCUUCUUGUUUUGAGCACUUAUUAAAAUCUGUACUGCCAAAUCUAUCAAGAAUCCCAACUUUAUACCAUUAAAAGCCACACUCUUCAACCAGCUCCUCUACGUCAACAGGCUCUAUAACUACCAAACUGAACUUUCCUCUUCUAAAUUUGGAGUGUAAUGUGCAUUUAUUAUAUUGGUUUUUAUACGUAAAUUAAAUACCAAUGAUUUUCAUUCUAAUAUAAAAGUGGAGUCAAUCGAAUGUUAUAAUCUUUGGAGAUAUUUUUUCUUAUAAAACUACAUAAGAAAUCCCUUUGCUUAAAAAAAUGAAAGAAAAUAGCUCAUGUAGCCUUCAUCAUACUAUAGAUAAAAGAUCUAUAUAUAAAGAACGAUGAAAUUGAGUUAAGAAGAAGUAUUAUGAAGGUGAAAAUGAUAAAAACAUUUCAUCCUGAUUUUUUAACUUAGAAAAUAUGCCUUGAAGAUAAGAAUCAUUGAAAAAAUAAAAGCUAAUAUAAUCAUUAAAAUAUAUAAAGAAAAACUUGUUAUUAAAGAUUUCAAGUAAUAAAAAAAUAAGAACUAUUUUGAUACAUGCUCACCUAAGUUAAGAACAACUCUUAUAUGAAUGUUAAUAGUCAAUUAUAUAUGCAGCUAUUAACAAGUUAGAAAUAUAUAAAAUUAAUAUAAAAAUAGUUUUUUUAAAGGGUGAUUUUGAUGAAAAAGUCAAAUGAAACAACCUGGAAGGUUUUUUGUUUUUAAAAAAUAUAUAAGCUUGUCAAAUUAUUAUACUGUUUGAAAUACAUUUUUAAAUAAUGAGAUGAAAAGUUAAACAAGUUUAUGUUAUCAUAUAAGUUUAAAAUUAACAGGGUUAAUAAAUAUGUUUAUGCAAGAAACACAAACAAUAAUUAUUUCAUUGUAUGUAUUUAUGCGAAAGACAAAAUUAAUUUUAGGCAACAAUAAAUAUAUUAUUGUCACCAACUGUGUUGAGUGCAUUUCAAAAGUGGGUUUUCUUGAAAAAAAAUUAAAUUGAUUUUUUAAAAAUGUUUUCCAAUAGUAUUGGCGUGCUAAUGUAAAAAAUGAGAAAAAUAUAAAAAAAUAUUUUAAUAUAUUUUUAAAUAAAAUACUUUUGAGAAGCACCAUGCACUUUAAUAUCAAAUACAUGUUAUGUUUAUAUAUAUAAAAAGUAUUAACUAAUAAGUUUAACAUGAAAAGAUUAGGUGUUGUAGAUGUCAUACUAAAAAUAAAAAUUUUUAAGAUAUAUGAUAGAUUUGUAUUGUCUUAAUCUUAUUAUGAGAAAAUUAUUGAUGAUUUUUUAAAGGUAAUAAUAGCAACAUCAAAACAUCAAUGUAUGUUCAAAAACAAAGGUGGUGAAGGUAUAUUCCAGUUGAAAUAUUCUUGAAUUAUUGAAAGUUUAAUAUAUGUUAUGAAUGGUUUUUAAGAAAAAUCUACAAAUUUUGUUAGGGAUUUCAAGUCCUGGGAAUGUAUUGCUUGAUCAGGUAAAGUAAUUGUAGAAUGGUACUGAAGGCAAUAUUGAUACAAAAAAAACAAGUUUUAGUUUUCCACUUGUGCUCCUCUUAAGAAAAUCUCCAUUAACUUUUAGGGAUUUCAAGUCCCGGAAAGGAUUGCUUGUCAUCUAAAGUAAUCGGAGAACAGUGAUGAAGGCAAUAUUAACGAUCUAAAAGAAAUAAAUUUAAGAAAAUAUCUUUCUGUGAUGUAUGAUCAUGUGAAUUCCUUCAGACUUUUCGACUUUCUGUUUCUUGAGUCGCUAUCGGGGCUGUGGCUUGCAAGAUGGGGUCCUGAAGACGCUUUCACCCACCCAAGAGCAAAAGUUGUGGGGGCCGCUGGUUAUGUUUUUUUCUGGAUUCAGCUGAGACAAAUUGCUUGUUGACAGCUAGAGAUCACCACGGCAUCUUACCUUGCUCUUAUCUUUCUUGCUUCAAGGGAUAAGAUGCGCCCACCAUUCUGAUAAGAUGCCACCGUGCGGUUGCCAACCAUCAACAUGCAAGGAUUUCAACUCGAAUUCGUUAUCCUAAAUUUGUACUUCAACGAGGUGAAGUAGUGGAGUUUCUUCCUUUCCAUUACAAAAAUGAAGAAGAAGAAGAAGCAGCAGCUUUGUCUGAAACUAAUUGUAGGAGAGGAUUAAAUCAACCAGCAGAAAAGUUUCUUGAUUUUCGACGACAUCAAUUACAGUCAAGGUUGUCAAUUCCGUUUUCAUUCAAAAUGACCAAACAUUUUAUAUCAAUUCAAAAAAAUAAAACAAAACAGAAUAAUUUUCAUCUCAUUUCAAAUCUUGAUUCGUUCCGGAUUUUUUAACUAAAUUCUAUCCAGAAUGUUCCGGUUUUAUUCCACAUGUUCUGUUGCGGUCUUGAAAAAUCAUUGAAUCAAAUUGAACAUGAUUCAAUUUAAUUAAUUAAACCAUCCAAGUAUAAAAAACUCUUUUUCAUUACUAUUUUCAAUAACAAUGAUAUUAAUAAUAAUAUUGAAAGUUAUUAUUACUAUUUUCAUUAACUUUGUAGGAAUUUAAGCAAAAUCUUUAGAUCCCAUUAGCCUUGAUAACAUUGACCUAGCUUUAUAUUUAAAAUAUUUGUAUUAAAAUAUUUUAAUUUCAUAAUAUUUUGAUAUUUUGUUCAAGUUGAAUUAAUUUAAGUUAAAGAUCUAUUUAAUCUUGAUUAUUUAUAAAUAUUUAAAUUUCAAAAUUAUAUUUGUUUAACAUUAUAUUUGUAUUAUAUAAUUUAUAAUUAAUUUAUCUUGAAUUUGAAUUAUGUUUGCACAACAUCCUAGGUCCCAGGUUCUUGAAAGUCUUAGUAGAUCGCUACGAUCUUAUCCUUUUAGUAUUGAGGAGCUUACCAGUUCUGAUCCACUUGAGAAUAUAUACAGUACAAUCUUGAAACGACACGUCAAAAUAGUUCAAAAUUAAACAUUUUAUUCCAAUUAAAAAUACACAACACUUACUGACAACUUAAUUACAGCUACUUUGUGCUAACUGAUUUAACAUUUGUUCUCACACAUGAGUUUUUAACAUGAUAAAGCAAAGUGAAUAUUCCUCUGACCAUCACACACAGGUACUUGGAUAUAUAUGCAUGGCAAUAGGCGCAACGAUCUAAUAGUAUUUGAUUCAAACUUUACCUUAUGCCAACAAUUAUCAAUUGAAAUCACAUUACCUUUUCAAGUACCAUAGUUUCCAUGAUGUUCUGAAGAUAUUGACUCUGAUCCAGUAAUACAUGAAUAAAAAACAAGAUUUUUAUCUAAUUACAGUAAAAAAGGUGAAUAAAAAAACAUUAACAUCUCUCAAUUUCAACUAGAACUAGUUUAAGAUAAAUGAGAUUAAUUUUAGAUAAAAUUAUAAAUGAGAUCUUUAAAAUGUUUAUUUUAUUUUAUUUUUAUGUGUAUCUAAUAAGUGAAGCCUUGGUAAUCUUUAUUUUGUAUUUGAGGUUUUUUUAUUAAGUAAGGAUAAUUAAUUUUUAUUCUAUAAAAUAUAAUUGAUAAAUAUAUAAUACUUAUUUUUUAGGUUUUUUUAUAUUAAAUGUGGACUUGAAAUGUUGCCCGUGUAGCUCUUGGCUUAAACAAGCUCCGAUUACAAAAUUAAUCCCCAGAAUAAUUUCAUUUUGGCAUCUUGAACAUUUAUUCGCUUUCAUCGAACUAUAAUCUAAGUGCUUCUUUAAGUAUGAAUUCUUAAACUUCAUUUGGUGUGCUCAAUUACAAGAGAAGUUAAGGAGUAGGGUUUAUAAUUUAUAUAUGAAAAAGGGAGAAACUAAGAAAGAAAGUAUUGUGUUUUUUUUUUCUUUAUUUUUUUAUCAACAACUUCUCUAACCAAAAAAAAAAAAAGGUUGAGUUGGAGGCCACAUGGCAUAAAUUUUUUUAUUGAUGCAGUGCUCUUGUAAAAACUAAAAUUUUUGAAUAUUAAGGGAUAAUCUUACACUACUAAAUAAAGAUCUAACUUAAAUAGAUUAAAUAAAUAAUAUAAUAAAUAUUUUCAUGAACUAACGAGAUAUUUAAGUUUAAGAAGGGAUUUAAUCGUACCAGACUAGUCAUCUUAAAAUUGAGACAAUAGAAGAUCCGAUUAUUGUAUCAAUCUCAAAUUUUUUCAGGUAAUUCUAUAAACAAUUUUCCUAUAAGAAGCCAUUUUCAUACUUAUUGAACAAUUGUAUCUCUCGAAAUUAGACCCGAAAAUUAUUAUUUGGAUUAAUUUUGUUAUUUUUCUAAGAUUUUUUGGAUUUAUUAUUUUUAUUUUGAAUCCUGUUUUAAUUUCCUUAUUUUUUUUAGAUUUUAAAUUAUUUUCUAAUAGAGAUAAGUUUUCCUAUCUAUUUAAAGGUAUUGUAAACUUAUUGAAGAGAUAACAACUAUAUAAUUAAAUAAAUUUUAGAGAAUAAAAUUAUAAAUUUAAAGUUUAUAUUUACAAUUUUUUUUCCAAUAAAAUUCUUAUGUUUUUUAUAUUAUUGUUGUACUAGUAGCUUUGGCAGGCGUCAAUUUUGAAAAUUAAGUUCUUACAUGUUGAUUUAGGAAAGCAGGAACUCCAAGAAACUAUAAAAUAUUAUAUGAUUGUGAUUAUAAUUGAUUUGAUGUUCAAAGUCCCCUUAUAAUUUAUGCAUCGUCUCCUUCCUCCUACCAUUAUUUCUACAUCUUCAUUUUCAAUCCUAAUUUUUUUAACCUUUAGUUUUUUUUUUUUUUAAUUUUCAAAUUCAUAAUAAAAAUAAUAAAAAAAUCAAGUCUUCAUAGUAUUUUCUUCUCCACCGUAUAUCAUAAAACCUAGAUUUAUGGUUUCUCAAAAACUCAAGCAACUGUCAUUUUUAGUUUUCAUAUUUGAAUAACAGGAAUCAGAGUUAUCGACAAAUUAACUACAUUUUCCCAAUUAAUUCACUAACUCAAUCUGCGGUCAAAAGAGUUUAUCAAGGACACAUCUUUCCCUCAUCUCUACAGCUUCAACUACAAUAUAUAUAUAUAUAUAUACAUAUACAUAUAUCAUAGUUUCAUCAGCAACGACGCAUUCAGUUCCAGCAACGAGUUUGAAUCAUGCAUUUACAUUUCUGCUCUUAUCCGUCAGUAAGAGAAAAUAAGGGCUAAUAAUACAAAACCUUUGCCCCCCUCUAUACAUCAAUAAUUCAACCCUAUGUCACCAUAUAUGUAUAAUAUAUUGUUACUUCAAAAUCAAUGGCUAUCAAUCACGAUGACAUCUUACCUUGCUCUUAUAUUUCUUGUUUUUUUCCUCCGAUAAAGUGCUCAGAAGCAUAAUUGAGUAAGAAAAGUUCGCUGAUUAUCGACAAGAAUAUUCCAGCUAGGCCUUGCUGACUGCUUUAACAUUUUCAGCACACGAGUUUUGAACAUGAUAAAGCAAGUGAACAUUCACCUGACCGGCACGCCGAUAUUAAGAUAUUGCACACCAUCGCCAUCAGUGGAACCCCACAGCCUCAUCACCAUCACCAUCAACCCCUAAUAUUAUCAUCGUAAAUCCUCUUCUUCCAUCCUUUCCAUAUCACAAUCCUUAAGUUACGGUCUUGCAAACCAAGAUUACGCAGUUCAUAGUUUUCGGCCUUUUCCGACGUGUGGUGAUCGAUCGCAAUCGUUGCUGCUGUUAUGGCUGACGAUGAAUGGAGAAGGUGAGCAAGAGAAAAACAACGAGGAGAGAAGAAGUGGGACGGCGAAGAGUAAUAUAUAUGGGAAGGGUAAUAUGGGGUCUUCAUGUAUAAUUACUUUUCUAUUUUCUUAAAUACAUCGAAAGUUAAGAAAACUCCAUUUUAUUUAACCAGCUUUUCCCCGUAAUCUGGAGUCUAGACACAUGUCAUGUCGUAUCAGCACCCUCCUGUUAACAGCGUUGAAACGCCGUUAAACAUCUAUGAUUUUAAACCUUAACGCGAAAUGUAGAUCUCAUCAGGAAAAAAAUAUCUUAAUUCUUUUUACAUUUAAGUGUGGUCAUAUUUUAUCUUAUCUUUUUAAAUAUUACAGUUUAUAUUAAACAGUUGACAGUAAUUUAAAUAUUAAAUCAGUAACAUGCAAAUUCAAUCAACGGAAAAAUUAAAUUUAUUAUUAUAAUUGAUUUAAUACCCAUAUUAGCCUUGUAACUUAUAUAUCUUCCUACUCUUGCUAUUAUUUCUCUCAAUUUUAUUUUUUUUAUUCAAGUUCCUUUCCAAAACAAAGAUGGUUAUUGAUGAGGCUGGAAAAAAUUGUUGGGAGGAAUAUAAAAUUUAAUCUGAAAAAACUGAUGAACCUGUCAAAACACAUGUAAGAAAAACUUUUGGAUAUUUAAAUCAAUAUAAUAGUUGUAUAGUUGAUGAGGAGAGUAAGUUGUAUUCCCUGUGUUUAAAUAUUUUUUAAACAUUGCUUAAAUCUUGUAUUAGAUUUAUGUUGUGUUAGACUUGUGUUGAGUUUUAUGUUGUUUAAAGACUUAAAAUUUAAAAAGAUCUGUUUAUAUAAACAUUUUUAAGAUAAAUAUUUAAGUUUUAAUGUAUUUUAUAUAAAUAUCUAUUAAAUAUCUAUGUUAUAAGAUAUUUAUAAAGAUGUGUACAUUGUAUAAAGCUUUAGAUAGACCCGAUUGAACUUGGUUCAAGAAUUAAUAUUAUUAUAUAGUUUUUUCAUGUAUCAUUAAAUCCCCUGGAAGUCUUACAAAUAUAUAUUUGGAAAACUCGACCUAGCAAGAGAAAUAAAGAAAAUACUUAAAGUGAUUAAUGUUACCCUUUGUAUGUAUAAGCUGCCAUAAAAAGUGUUUGUGGACGUGUAGUCGUCGGUGUUGUCGUGGGUGUAGCAAUUGAUGUAGCCAUAGGCCUAAUGCUUGCUUAGUUGUUGGCAUGUCAUUGGCAUAACCUUGGACAUAGCCGGCAUAGUCUUCGUUAUGUUGUUGGCAUAAUUACCUUUGUGUUGGGUUUUCGUUAGCUAUAAAAAAAAAGCUUUUAAAAAACAGAAAUGAAUUGCCUUUUUGUUCGCUCCCCACAUGCAACACCAAUUGAUGAAGCUAAAACAAUCCUUAGGAGAAAGGAGAAAGAUUGGAGGUUUUUUUUAUAUAUUGGUAAAACUAGCUAAAAAAUCUAAAUAAAAAACACUUUAAAAAAUAAACAUUCUAUAUUAUUUUCAAAUCUCAAACUAUGCUGUAAAAUUUACUCAGAUAUCUAUAGGCAUGUUAAGCUCAAACACAAGUAGAUCAAAACUAAAUUCUAAUUCUGAUACUGUUUCUCUUUUCUUUUGGAAGCUACAAAACUAUAAUUGAUUUAAUACCUAAAAAUAAACAAUAUAAUAUCAAAUCUCCAAUUACCUAAAAGAUAAUUUAAAUUAAGAAGCUUGGAUUCCUGGAAAACCUAGAUCAUACAAAAACCAAUUCUAACACAAUCUUCAAAACAACUUAAUCUCUAUCAUUAUUGAUUCCCAAACUUAAGUCUCAUCAAGCUAAAAAACUAUAACAAAAUCGAUUUAAAAAUAAAGAAGAGGCGCCGACGAAUAGUGGGAUCAAAGAAGUAGUAGAAUUAAUAAAUUAUGGAUUAUAAUUUCAAUUAGAGUUUGUGGUCUAAUUCUAAUUUCAACAACAUGGGUGUGAUGGUCCAGAAGAAAAGGACGGGUGAUGUUUUAUUUUCGUGUGAUUAGCCAAUGUGAAGAAAGAAGGAAGAGAGAGAGAGAGAGAGAGAAGACGAGAAGAAUAAAAACGUGGAAGAAAAAAUUACGUGAAAGAUAUUUUUAUUAAUCUUUAAAUUUUGAAAAUAAUGAGAUGAAGUAAUGCCAUGCUCAAACAAAGAAGAGUCGUGAAAACUAACCGUUACUUUCCUUCUAUCCUGCCCAACGUACGACUUUGGCUAUUUAAUCAUUCUGCUUCUACUGGGACGAAUCCAUUAAAUUAUCAGCAAUCAUCUUCCUUGUUUCAGAUACUGUUCAGCUCCAACAUGGCCUCCAUUGAUGCUCUUUCAAAUCCACUCAAAUUCUCAGCUUUAGUUCUAAUCCUAUCUAUAUUCAUAGUCCAACUCUUCAUUAGAAAAUUGAACAAAAAGCAGAAAAAAUACAAGUACCAUCCAGUUGCAGGCACGGUGUUUACCCAACUUCUCCACUUCAACAGGGUGCAUCAUUACAUGACUAAUCUUGCUGGGAAAUACAAGACUUACAGGCUGCGCGCCCCUUUCAGAAGUGAGAUUUACACUGUUGACCCUGUAAAUGUUGAGUACAUACUCAAAACCAACUUUGAAAAUUAUGGCAAGGUAAUUUAUUUCUUCUUACUGUGAUGUAUUUCGUCAAUAUCAGUACCAAAUGUUUGGUCCUUGUUUUUAUGACGUGAAUUGUGUAAAAUUAUCUAGAUGAAUUCAACACCCAAUUAUGAGUAUUCACAAAACAAUUUGGUAGGGUGAUGAGAAUUUGAGUGGGGAUGGUUUUGACUGUUCACUUUUCCAUCAGGAUUAGAUUCCAAUGGCUAAAAGGGUAAAAAUUUAGCUUCCUCAAUCUUUGUGCAGGGGGACCAUAAUUACGACAAUUUAAGUGGGUUGCUAGGUGAUGGAAUUUUCACUGUUGAUGGUCACAAAUGGCGCCAACAAAGAAAGGUUUCGAGCUAUGAGUUCUCCACAAAGGUUUUGAGGGACUUCAGCAGUGUGAUCUUCAGGAAGAAUGUGGCAAAACUUGCUAAUAUAGUGUCUGAUGCUGCAAAAGCUAACCAGUCAAUGGACAUACAGGUUAGUAUUUGAUCCAAUGUCACAUCAUGAAUUGAUUUUCAAAUUACGUGACCUUCUAAGCUUAACUGGUUGUGCAGGACCUGUUUAUGAAAUCAACCUUAGAUUCGAUAUUCAAAGUUGGAUUUGGGGUUGAGCUAGACAGCAUGUGUGGAUCAAAUGAAGAAGGUGUCAAAUUUACCAGUGCUUUUGAUGAUGCAAGUGCAUUGACCCUUUGGCGAUAUGUUGACGUGUUCUGGAAAAUCAAGAGGUUUUUGAAUAUUGGAUCGGAAGCUACAUUAAAGAAAAACGUCAAAGUGGUUAAUGAUUUUGUGUAUAAACUAAUCAAUAAAAAAAUUGAGCUAAUGCGUACCUCAAAAGAAGUUUCUUCUGUGAGUAUCUCUCCUUGAAACUAUUAUUUCUGAUAGAUUGCAGAGGCAUGAAUUUUACUUGAUCUUUCAUGGAAAAUGCAGUUAAAGAAAGAUGACAUUUUAUCAAGGUUCCUGCAAGUGACCGAGAAUGAUCCAACAUACUUACGGGACAUAAUUCUCAAUUUUGUGAUUGCUGGAAAAGACACAACAGCAACUGCUCUAUCAUGGUUCAUCUACAUGUUGUGCAAGAAUCCAGCUGUGCAGAAUAAGAUUGCACAAGAAGUAAGAGAAGCAACUAAAGUGAAGGAGAUUACAGACUAUGCAGAAUUUGCAGCCAGUAUUAAUGAAGAAGCUCU